GUACUGCUGAAGAGUCCUAAAGAGCCAGGACGAAACAGCUGUCAAGUAC
This 49-nucleotide non-coding RNA is filed under the name Trichobilharzia regenti. The record is from RNAcentral. Lineage: Eukaryota; Metazoa; Platyhelminthes; Trematoda; Strigeidida; Schistosomatidae.